RNAcentral lists this ribosomal RNA (1043 nucleotides) under uncultured archaeon. RNAcentral describes it as "bacterial SSU rRNA". It matches the Rfam family "Archaeal small subunit ribosomal RNA", at positions 1 to 1054 of the family's 1478-position model. The record is from RNAcentral.
UCUGUUUGAUCCUGGCAGAGGCCACUGCUAUCGGAGUUCGAUUAAGCCAUGCGAGUCGAGAGGUGAAAGACCUCGGCAUACUGCUCAGUAACACGUGGACAAUCUAACCUACGGAGGGGGAUAACCCCGGGAAACUGGGGAUAAUACCCCAUAGACUAUGGAUGCUGGAAUGCUUUGUAGUCGAAAGGUCCGCCGCCGUAGGAUGGGUCUGCGGCCGAUUAGGUUGUUGUUGGGGUAACGGCCCAACAAGCCUGUAAUCGGUACGGGUUGUGGGAGCAAGAGCCCGGAGAUGGAUUCUGAGACACGAAUCCAGGCCCUACGGGGCGCAGCAGGCGCGAAAACUUUACAAUGCGGGAAACCGUGAUAGGGGAACUCCGAGUGCCCGUUAAAUCGGGCUGUCCAUCUGUUUAAAUAACAGGUGAAGAAAGGGCCGGGCAAGACCGGUGCCAGCCGCCGCGGUAAUACCGGCGGCUCGAGUGGUGGCCACUAUUACUGGGCUUAAAGCGUUCGUAGCUGGUUUGUUAAGUCUCUGGGGAAAUCUUCCGGCUUAACCGGAAGGCGUCUCAGGGAUACUGGCAGACUAGGGACCGGGAGAGGUGAGGGGUACUCCAGGGGUAGGAGUGAAAUCCUGUAAUCCUUGGGGGACCACCUGUGGCGAAGGCGCCUCACCAGAACGGCUCCGACAGUGAGGGACGAAAGCUGGGGGAGCAAACCGGAUUAGAUACCCGGGUAGUCCCAGCUGUAAACGAUGCGCGUUAGGUGUAUCGGUGACCACGAGUCACCGAGGUGCCGAAGAGAAAUCGUGAAACGUGCCGCCUGGGAAGUACGGUCGCAAGGCUGAAACUUAAAGGAAUUGGCGGGGGAGCACCACAACGGGUGGAGCCUGCGGUUUAAUCGGACUCAACGCCGGGAAACUCACCAGUUAAGACAGCUGAAUGAUAGUCGGGCUGAAGACUCUACUUGACUAGCUGAGAGGAGGUGCAUGGCCGUCGUCAGUUCGUACUGUGAAGCAUCCUGUUAAGUCAGGCAACGAGCGAGACCCA